GGGUGUGAUUUUUAUUGGUGUUACUAGCAAUGCCAUAGUGCUUCACAGUUUACAAAAGUGCUUUCUCACAUAUUGUAUCAGUUAAGUCUCAAGCUAACUCUGGUAGGUAGGUCUUAUUAUAUAGAUUUAUCUUUUUUUUUCCUAGAAAAGUACCAUGGUGAAAGAUUUUGGUACCAAAAUGAGAUGGUCUUCGGUGGAAAUCUCACCUCUGUCAAUUACUAGCUUCAUGUCUUUGAACAAGUCAGUUAACCUCCCUGAGCCUCAGGAUCCACAAGUAAGAGGAUAUUUUAACCACACCAAAUUGAAACUGCCUUUUGACUCCAUCAUUUAAACUUCAGAGAUGCUUCAAUCUCACCGUAAAAUUGAAAUGGAAAAGAAAUAAUGUUAAUGAAAAUGGGAAAAAAUUACAAAUGAUUAAAUUGGGCAAUAUGGAACAUUGAUCAAGGAAUUAAAUUGGUUUAAUGGAGUUCACUGGAAAAAAAUACUUUCUCCACAAAAAUGUAUUGAUGCUAGCCUAAUUUUGCUUAAAAUAUUUGUAUUUGAAAUGUGGAUGGGGGUCAACAUGGGGUUAAAACGGUGAACACAAAGAGCCUGGUCCCUAGUGCUCAUAAUAAGAACUAGAAUAACUCCUACCCAACACUAUUUCAAGUACUUUUCAUGCUAUCAUUUAAUCAUCAAAGAAGUCCAGGG
This 690-nucleotide long non-coding RNA is filed under the name Marmota monax (woodchuck). The record is from RNAcentral. Lineage: Eukaryota; Metazoa; Chordata; Mammalia; Rodentia; Sciuridae.